UACGAGGGGUGCGAGCGUUGCUCGGAAUUAUUGGGCGUAAAGGGUAGGUAGGUGGUUUCGUUUGUCUGGGGUGAAAGCCUUGAGCUUAACUCAAGAAGUGCCCCGGAAACGGCGAAACUCGAGUACUGGAGAGGGUCGUGGAAUUCCCGGUGUAGCGGUGAAAUGCGUAGAGAUCGGGAGGAACACCAGAGGCGAAGGCGACUACCUGGCCUGUUCUUGACGCUGAGGCGCGAAAGCUAGGGGAGCAAACGGG
This 253-nucleotide ribosomal RNA is filed under the name uncultured bacterium. RNAcentral's name for it is "partial 16S ribosomal RNA". It matches the Rfam family "Bacterial small subunit ribosomal RNA", at positions 524 to 776 of the family's 1533-position model. The record is from RNAcentral.